AUUGAACGCUGGCGGCAUGCCUUACACAUGCAAGUCGAACGGCAGCACGGACUUCGGUCUGGUGGCGAGUGGCGAACGGGUGAGUAAUGUAUCGGAACGUACCUUUCAGUGGGGGAUAACGUAGCGAAAGUUACGCUAAUACCGCAUAUUCUGUGAGCAGGAAAGCAGGGGAUCGCAAGACCUUGCGCUGAUUGAGCGGCCGAUAUCAGAUUAGCUAGUUGGUGGGGUAAAGGCCUACCAAGGCGACGAUCUGUAGCGGGUCUGAGAGGACGAUCCCCCACACUGGUACUGAGACACGGACCAGACUCCUACGGGAGGCAGCAGUGAGGAAUAUUGGUCAAUGGGCGGAAGCCUGAACCAGCCAUGCCGCGUGCAGGAUGACGGCCCUACGGGUUGUAAACUGCUUUUCCCGGGGCGAAUAACCCCCUCGCGAGGGGGAGUGCCGGGUACCGGGGAACGUAAGGAGUCGGCUAACGUCCGUCG
Molecule: ribosomal RNA, 483 nt
Filed under: uncultured bacterium
Lineage: Bacteria
Description: bacterial SSU rRNA
Rfam family: Bacterial small subunit ribosomal RNA
Source: RNAcentral